AAACAGUCAUGUCAGAAACACCAGGCCCAGGGGUCUAAACAGUCAUGUCAGAAACACUAGGGACUGACAACAGGCCCAAGGGGCCUUAACAGUCAUCUAAUCACAACUGUACCCAGUAGCAGUGGCAACCAUUACACAAUACAAUAGUUGGAUCACUUACUAGGUAGAACUGUAAAUUCAACUAUCUCUUGCUACAUCUUGGAUUUCAUAACAAUUAAAAUGAUAAUAUAUUGAUGAUGAAGGGGAUCACAUCUUUAAUCACAAAUGAAAGGCUUAACCAUAGAUUUCCCUUAAUACUAUAUAUAUAUGUGAUAUGAAAAUGAUAGAAUCCGUUAUCUGUAUGAACUCAACCUAUCUUAGCUGAGGACCGCCAUUCUGUGACCGACAGAAUGUUAGUUGGAGGCUAGUCACCUAUAAACAAAACUAAGGUACAAUCCAUGAAAUACUGGUAACAAACUUCAACUGUCGAAAACCAAGAUGGACCAAGUGAGCUAAAAACUACGAACGAUUUUCAACAGUAUCUUGCCGUAACAUCACACCUAGACCUUUCAGGUGUAUGCUAAAUAGGCUGUGGGGUGUUUACUUCCAGGAUGGACCAAGAUGCCUUUCGAAAACUUUAUAGCGAAUUAUGAUACCAAAACGUACUUCAAAAUAUGAUAAAAUGAACAAAAAUUAAAAAAAAAAAUAAAAAAAAAAAACGAAAACAAAUAAUGUCAACAACAACAUAAAAUUGCUAUAACCUUCUAAACUGUUAAUUCCGAGAGGGACCCCAGUGGAACAGCUCAUGAUUACCAGCCAGGUAAAAAUGUGUUUUUGAAGAUUGUGGCUAUAUGGUGACCCUGUUGGAUAUUGGGCACACCUGAAAAACUGCUAGGAUUGGAUCAUAACCGGACCAUUUCAUAACGCAUGGUCUUAAAUUUGCUGAAAUAUAACAUUAAAUCAGAAUCAUCUCGAGGCGAGGAAGGUUUCAGAUAAAUCCCAGUUAAAAUUGGAGAAGUUUAAAAUGUCAAUAGUUUACACAGAGCGCACAAUGACAGACGGAACAUGAUGACUAUAUGUUGAAUGAUCAUGACUUAAUCAAAUCCCACCUCAACUUGUUUCCUCAAAUACAUUAUUUAGUAGAAUUACACAGGAUUUUUUUUAUGGUCCCUGGUUUUCCACAGAACGAGUUCAACAUACAUAUAAAAUGAUUCGUCUUCAAAACCACAGAUUUAUCCUGCUCUUUGAAUGACACACAUUAUCAUGAAAUCAGUAAAUGUCAGAAAUAGCUUAGAAAUUUCACAGCUAGGUGGUAUUGUGAUUUGGUAUUGACUGGUUUCAUAAUCCCUUAAUUCAUUGGAUUGUACAUGUUUAGGUGUCAGAGGUUAAUAUCUUUUCAAAAAUAAACUACAAUAAAUCGCAAUUUUAGUGAGAUAUAUUUUCAAGUGAAUGCAACAGGUGAAAUCCAAGCUAAUGUUUCAUCACACUUUUAAGCUUAUAAUCAAAGGACAUAAUAUAUCGUAUUCCUUUCAUCAAUCAAAAUUCUUACAAGUAAGUCUAAGGGAAUCUUGUUGCAAAAAUAAAUAUUUGUGAAAAUGAAGUAAUUUACAGUAGAAUGUCUGACCUUUGUCCCUUUCUGUAUGUUUACAUACAUAUGAGCCAACAUCUUGACUAUAAAGAUGUAUCACCAGUAGUUUUGUCACUUCCAAUCAGAAUCAUUCAUUUUUGUUCCCGCCACCGCUAAAUCUGGCAGUACUUAAGGCGUUUAGCAUGCUCAUGAGUCAAGAAUCAAUUUGGGCACUAUAUAUGUGGAAAGGUAACUAGGAACUUCACCAGUGUACAAAGUUCAGUGAUUUCAUUCCAAUUUGCAUCGGGUUAGAUUUUUCAACAAAGAUAAUUUUUAUCAUGAGUGGAGAUCCCAAAUUCUACACCGCAACCAAGAUAUCACAUCAAAAUAAUCUACACAAAGCACUUCCCAAGAAGCAUCUAAACUUCACAAAUGAGGAAUUUUUUCUUUUAUUAGAUGCAAUCGUGAACAUUUAUGUCUAUUCGGUACACAGAAAUUCAGACGGAUUACAUUCAUAAGUAAUCGUGUGUGAUAAUAUAUCUUCCGUGUCAUUGUAGAGUUAAAGAUCUUGCUCUUGGUAAAAACUAUCGGUUAAAAAUCUUCAGCAGAUAAAAGUUGACAGUUCGAAUGAAAUCGCCCAAUUUUGCCUUACAUUUAUAUAAUAUAUAUAUAUGUCAUAAUCAAUCUUAGGCAUAUAAUGAAUGUUUGACGAAUGAGCAUGCAUACCUGAGGGCUUACCCUUAUCCAGCAGUGACAGAUAUGAAGUGGCGUACUGAGGCUAUAACUGUGAGAGCUGGGUAGUGGCAUAGCUAUAUCUUCAUGAGAGCUGGGUAGUGGCAUAGUUAUAUCUUCAUGAGAGCUGGGUAGUGGCAUAGUUAUAUCUGUGAGAGCUGGGUAGUGGCAUAGCUAUAUCUUCAUGAGAACUGGGUAGUGGCAUAGCUAUAUCUGUGAGAGCUGGGUAGUGGUAUAGCUAUAUCUGUGAGAGCUGGGUAGUGGCAUAGCUAUAUCUGUGAGAGCUGGGUAGUGGCAUAGCUAUAUCUGUGAGAGCUGGGUAGUGGCAUAGCUAUAUCUUCAUGAGAGCUGGGUAGUGGCAUAGUUAUAUCUUCAUGAGAACUGGGUAGUGGUAUAGUUAUAUCUUCAUGAGAGCUGGGUAGUGGUAUAGUUAUAUCUUCAUGAGAACUGGGUAGUGGCAUAGCUAUAUCUUCAUGAGAACUGGGUAGUGGUAUAGUUAUAUCUUCAUGAGAGCUGGGUAGUGGUAUAGUUAUAUCUUCAUGAGAGCUGGGUAGUGGUAUAUUUAUAUCUUCAUGAGAGCUGGGUAGUGGUAUAUUUAUAUCUUCAUGAGAGCUGGGUAGUGGUAUAUUUAUAUCUUCAUGAGAGCUGGGUAGUGGCACAGCCACAUUUGUGAUAGCUGGGUAGUGGCAUAGUUAUAUCUUCAUGAGAACUAGGUAGUGGCAUAGUUAUAUCUUCAUGAGAACUAGGUAGUGGCAUAGUUAUAUCUUCAUGAGAGCUGGGUAGUGGUAUAGUUAUAUCUUCAUGAGAGCUGGGUAGUGGCAUAGUUAUAUCUUCAUGAGAGCUGGGUAGUGGCAUAGCUAUAUCUUCAUGUGAGAGCUGGGUAGUGGCAUAGUUAUAUCUUCAUGAGAGCUGGGUAGUGGCAUAGCUAUAUCUUCAUGUGAGAGCUGGGUAGUGGCAUAGUUAUAUCUUCAUGAGAACUGGGUAGUGGCAUAACUAUAUCUUCAUGAGAACUGGGAAGUGGCAUAACUAUAUCUGAGAGCUGGGUAGUGGCAUAGCUACAUAUUCAUGUGAGAACUGGGGAGUGGCAUAGCCAAUCUGUGAGAGCUAAUUCAAGAAUUCUGUGACAGAAGUCAACUGUUGAUGAAACAUCUUAAAUCACAGGACUUUGAAAUCAGCAGGUUGGUGGAGAUUGUGGGGGAAUUUUAUAGUCAACAUCAGGACCACAUCAGGAAUUAUUUGAUUCGCUAGUGUGAAAUGAAGUAAUGUUUGAUGUUCAGCAAUAUGUUAAACUGAUUCUCAUUGAGAAUGUGACAAUGCAUGAAAUGAAGAUUUGUAUUGUUGUCCGCGAUGAAGAAACGGUUUUUCCCGAACACCAGGCCUCAAUCUCCUUUUAAGGGUCUCCAUGUAAACCUACAUUUUCCUUUUGUUUUAUUGGAGUAAGUAUAACUAUGGUUUACAAUAUCCCAAUUCUCACAACUAUCCCAGUCCAGUUUCUAUCUAGCAGCCACUUCAGGAGUUUGGUGGCGACUCAUGAUAUCAUUGGAAAUGUAGCCUGGCUUUUAUCACAUUAGACCCGAGUAAAAUGUAAUAAAUCAGCAGUCAAACAUAC
Molecule: long non-coding RNA, 3887 nt
Organism: Pecten maximus
Lineage: Eukaryota; Metazoa; Mollusca; Bivalvia; Pectinida; Pectinidae
Exons: 2
Source: RefSeq, a predicted model, not a curated record